UACGUAGGGUGCAAGCGUUAAUCGGAAUUACUGGGCGUAAAGCGUGCGCAGGCGGUUUUGUAAGUCUGACGUGAAAUCCCCGGGCUCAACCUGGGAAUUGCGUUGGAGACUGCAAGGCUAGAAUCUGGCAGAGGGGGGUAGAAUUCCACGUGUAGCAGUGAAAUGCGUAGAGAUGUGGAGGAACACCGAUGGCGAAGGCAGCCCCCUGGGUCAAGAUUGACGCUCAUGCAAGAAAGCGUGGGGAGCAAACAGG
Molecule: ribosomal RNA, 253 nt
Filed under: uncultured bacterium
Lineage: Bacteria
Description: partial 16S ribosomal RNA
Rfam family: Bacterial small subunit ribosomal RNA
Source: RNAcentral